This 1484-nucleotide ribosomal RNA is filed under the name Bacillus sp. HM03. RNAcentral describes it as "partial 16S ribosomal RNA". It matches the Rfam family "Bacterial small subunit ribosomal RNA". Lineage: Bacteria; Bacillati; Bacillota; Bacilli; Caryophanales; Bacillaceae. The record is from RNAcentral.
GCACCGGGGGCGGCAGUCUAUACAUGCAAGUCGAGCGAAUUGAUUAAGAGCUUGCUCUUAUGAAGUUAGCGGCGGACGGGUGAGUAACACGUGGGUAACCUGCCCAUAAGACUGGGAUAACUCCGGGAAACCGGGGCUAAUACCGGAUAACAUUUUGAACUGCAUGGUUCGAAAUUGAAAGGCGGCUUCGGCUGUCACUUAUGGAUGGACCCGCGUCGCAUUAGCUAGUUGGUGAGGUAACGGCUCACCAAGGCAACGAUGCGUAGCCGACCUGAGAGGGUGAUCGGCCACACUGGGACUGAGACACGGCCCAGACUCCUACGGGAGGCAGCAGUAGGGAAUCUUCCGCAAUGGACGAAAGUCUGACGGAGCAACGCCGCGUGAGUGAUGAAGGCUUUCGGGUCGUAAAACUCUGUUGUUAGGGAAGAACAAGUGCUAGUUGAAUAAGCUGGCACCUUGACGGUACCUAACCAGAAAGCCACGGCUAACUACGUGCCAGCAGCCGCGGUAAUACGUAGGUGGCAAGCGUUAUCCGGAAUUAUUGGGCGUAAGCGCGCGCAGGUGGUUUCUUAAUUCUGAUGUGAAACCCCACGGCUCCCCGGGAAGGGUCAUUGAAAACUGGAAGACUUGAGUGCAAAAAAGGAAAGUGGAAUUCCAUGUGUAGCGGUGAAAUGCGUAAAGAUAUGGAGGAACACCAGUGGCGAAGGCGACUUUCUGGUCUGUAACUGACACUGAGGCGCGAAAGCGUGGGGAGCAAACAGGAUUAAAUACCCUGGUAUUCCACGCCGUAAACGAUGAUUGCUAAUUGUUAAAGGGUUUCCGCCCUUUAGUGCUGAAGUUAACGCAUUAAGCACUCCGCCGGGGGAGUACGGCCGCAAGGCUGAAACUCAAAGGAAUUGACGGGGGCCCGCACAAGCGGUGAAGCAUGUGGUUUAAUUCAAACCAACGCGAAAAACCUUACCAGGUCUUGACAUCCUCUGACAACCCUAAAAAUAGGGCUUCUCCUUCGGAAGCAAAGUGACAGGUGGUGCAGGGUUGUCGUCAGCUCGUGUCGUGAAAUGUUGGGUUAAUUCCCGCAACGAGCCCAACCCUUGAUCUUAUUUCCCAUCAUUUAUUUGGGCACUCUAAGGUGACUGCCGUUGACAAACCGAAGAAAGGUGGGAAUGACUUCAAAUCUUCAGGCCCCUUAGAACCUGGGCUACACCGUGCUCAAAUGAACGUAACAAAACCUCCAACCCCCAGGGUGGACCAAAUCUCAAAAACCCUUUCCCAGUUCGAAUUGAGGCUGAACCUCCCCUACAUGAACCCUGAAAUCCCUAUAAUCCGCGAAACACAUGCCCCGUUAAAUCCUUCCCGGGCCUUGUAACACGCGCCGGUCCAAACCCAGAAGAUUUGAACACCCGAAACUCGUAGAGUAACCUAUAUAGAACCCGCCGCCCUAAGGUGGACAAAAUAGAUAUGGCGGCUGAUAGAGACUCAUCAAU